GGGCCCUUGGCACAGUUGGUAGCGCGCACGCUUCGCAUUUGAGAGUGCGUGAGGUCGUGGGUUCAACUCCCACAGUGUCCA
Molecule: transfer RNA, 81 nt
Filed under: Hygrophoropsis aurantiaca
Lineage: Eukaryota; Fungi; Basidiomycota; Agaricomycetes; Boletales; Hygrophoropsidaceae
Description: tRNA-Ala
Rfam family: tRNA
About the family: Transfer RNA (tRNA) molecules are approximately 80 nucleotides in length. Their secondary structure includes four short double-helical elements and three loops (D, anti-codon, and T loops).
Source: RNAcentral